Molecule: transfer RNA, 72 nt
Filed under: Ictidomys tridecemlineatus (thirteen-lined ground squirrel)
Lineage: Eukaryota; Metazoa; Chordata; Mammalia; Rodentia; Sciuridae
Description: tRNA-Val (GAC) (tRNA-Val-GAC-2-1)
Rfam family: tRNA
About the family: Transfer RNA (tRNA) molecules are approximately 80 nucleotides in length. Their secondary structure includes four short double-helical elements and three loops (D, anti-codon, and T loops).
Source: Rfam by way of RNAcentral
GGGGGUGUGGCUCAGCGGUAGAGCUCUUGCCUGACAAGCAUGAGGCUCUGGCUUCAGUCCCCAGCACCACCA